Molecule: long non-coding RNA, 734 nt
Filed under: Olea europaea subsp. europaea
Lineage: Eukaryota; Viridiplantae; Streptophyta; Magnoliopsida; Lamiales; Oleaceae
Source: RNAcentral
UCUCUCUCUCUCUCUCUCUACAGUUGACUCUCCCUUCCUUCUCUCUUUUCUUACCAUCUCUCUCUAUCCUUUAGUCGGCGUUAAGGGGCAAAGCACGACACAAUUGAUUCGCCAAUGCGAUGCAAUUGCACCACCGUCAAUCUCUCGUCUCUCUCUUCCCAUUGAUCUCAUGUCUCCCCUUUUACCACACCACCAUCGAGAAGCACGUCACGCAUUCUCUCUCUCUCUCUUCUCCCACCACCAUAGAGAAUCCACGUUGUUGUGGCGCUAAUUUGAGCACCACAUGCAGCAACGCUUUCAGGUCUUCCACUGUGCAGCACUAAUCUGAGCAGCGUGGCUACGGUAGUUGAUUUGAAAGCGCGAGUUCCUGUUACUGAUCUGAGUGGCGUGGCUAUGGUGGUUGAUUUCAAUGCGUAAGUUCUUGUUACAAAUUUGAGCGACGUGGAUGUGUUGGAUAAAGCGUGAGUUCACAUUACUCAAAGGGAUGCUUGUUAAUUGUGGCGGUGUUGCCGUGGUCAUGGUGUUGGUAGCGAUGACAGUGGUCGAAUGGCUAGAAGAUUGGUUGUGACCAAUAAAUUGAUUGAUUGUGAUGUAAAAAAUAUAAUCGUGAUUCACAAUUUAUUAAGUAAGUUGUGAUUGAGAAAUAAUUUGAGAUCAAUUAAUUUGAUGAUUUACAACUGUCAAAUAGUUGUGAUUAAUAAAAUUUGUGAUUUGUGACCUAUAAAUGAAUUGUG